GAAAGCACCUGGCAGGGGAGGUACCAUGAUCAUGAAGGUGGUUUUCCCAGGGGGAGGCUCAUCCAUUGCACUCCGGAUGUGCUGACCCCUGAGAUUUCCCUAGAUAUGGGAAACUGGACUGCAUAAUUUGUGGUAGUGGGAGACUGCAUUUGUGCUUUCCCCUC
Molecule: small nuclear RNA, 164 nt
Organism: Callithrix jacchus (white-tufted-ear marmoset)
Lineage: Eukaryota; Metazoa; Chordata; Mammalia; Primates; Cebidae
Gene: U1
Rfam family: U1 spliceosomal RNA
About the family: U1 is a small nuclear RNA (snRNA) component of the spliceosome (involved in pre-mRNA splicing). Its 5' end forms complementary base pairs with the 5' splice junction, thus defining the 5' donor site of an intron.
Source: Ensembl